CUGGGGCAUCAUUUCAGUGAGGCAGCCUCUGCCUAAAUUAUUUCCACUUACACGGAUCUCACAUGGAAAAAAAAACCAAUGAAUGUAAAGGUUUUCUCUAAGUGCUAGAAAGAAAUGUCUCAGUCAGGGACCUGGUCAAACUCUAGGUUGAAAUUUAAUGUGCUUCAGCCAUCAGCUGCUUGUCUUGCUUUGAGCCCCAGGUGGAAAUCAAACGAGUAUGGAAAUGUCAAACCAACAUAUACUCAGGUGGGAUCUGAACUCCUUGACAGAACUAAGGGCUUCCACAAACUAACCAGCUGUAAGAAAUGUGUCAGUGGGAACAAGGGAGAGAGAAGCAGAGCUGACCAGAAAGAAAAAGUGAUGUCAUGUGGGUUCGAGUGGAUGUGAACCGCUCAGUCUCAAAAGUGACAAAUGAGGCUAAAGAAAUUUGUUAUUUCCUGUGAAGCUGCUUUGGAUUUCACCAGCAGUCAUUAAUUCCCUCUAUGUUGAGGAGGGAAAGUUUUGGGUUUCAGGUAUAGACAGAUGAUUCAGGGAGGAAGGACCUUGUGUGAGAGGCAUGAGUGAUAGCUGAAAUCCUGGGAGCCAGAGUCAUCUGUUUGCAGAAAGCUUCCCCAAAGUGCACAAAGCCAGAUUUCUGCCUUCAUAAAUAUUGUUCUUUCAGGACACGUUUACUAAAUCACGUCUAGUUCACAAUCAUUUGCCAGCCCCAUUUAACUUCAUUAGCUCAGGUCCAGUUCAUACUGUUUAAAACACAGCGUUUCUUGGGAACGGCACAUACAGAAUUAUGUGAACUGUUCGGAAUAGCUUCACCCUGAGCACUUAGCAUGGCUCAUUCUUUGCUACAAUGCUACUAAUCCAGGCACUUACCAGCGAGUCACUCAGUUUCUCCCAGAUCAAGAGCCUCCCUGUAACUUGCAUUGUAUGGUGCAGAAGUGUAGGUGUUACAGAAACAGACUGGAUUCAUCCUGAAAGGCAACACAUGAGGAGGUGGCUGUCUGCCCAUCCAAACUGUCACCAUGCCGAGAGGACAUGGACACAAUCAGUGCCAUUACCCACUGAUGGGACCCGUCCCAGCAGGAAUAUCUAUGCCUAUAAACAGGGAAAGGUGCUUGUAUACACUGCCUUGAAGUACCAGCCAAUACUCCCAGUCUAAAUCAUCAGCCAGCAGAAAAUGACCAACCAUCAUGUUUUUUGAGCUGUGUCUCUGUGAUGAGCCCAUCCCCAGGAGCCAUCCAAAACACAGGAAUGCACAUCCUGUGUCAGUCCAAAGGGACCCCAACCCUGAACUGUGGCUUUCCACAGCUGCAGAGGCCUAGAGAAAGAAAUUACCAAAAUCAGAGUAAGUAUCCUUAUCUAAAUUAGUCAUCAAGGUUCCCUUUGGAGAAAAAACUUUCACCCAUGCAAGUGUUCAAUUCACCUACCCCAAAGCAAAUGCUUAAAAUAAAGCUAAUGAAUUGCCCCCUAGAGCA
This 1469-nucleotide long non-coding RNA is filed under the name Coturnix japonica (Japanese quail). RNAcentral's name for it is "lncRNA (ENSCJPG00005015821.1)". The record is from RNAcentral. Lineage: Eukaryota; Metazoa; Chordata; Aves; Galliformes; Phasianidae.